RNAcentral lists this ribosomal RNA (483 nucleotides) under uncultured bacterium. RNAcentral's name for it is "partial 16S ribosomal RNA". It matches the Rfam family "Bacterial small subunit ribosomal RNA", at positions 899 to 1397 of the family's 1533-position model. The record is from RNAcentral.
ACUCAAAUGAAUAGACGGGGACCCGCACAAGCGGUGGAGCGUGUUGUUUAAUUCGAUGGUAAGCGAAGAACCUUACCCAGGUUUGACAUCCUCGGAAUUUCUUCGAAAGAAGAAAGUGCCUUUGGAACCGAGUGACAGGUGCUGCAUGGCCGUCGUCAGCUCGUGUCGUGAGAUGUUUGGUUAAGUCCAUCAACGAGCGCAACCCUUAUAGUCUGUUGUAUUUCUCAGGCUAGACUGCCCUGGCAACAGGGAGGAAGGGGGGGAUGAUGUCAGGUCAGUAUUGCCCUUACACCUGGGGCUACAAACACGCUACAAUGGCCGGUACAAAGGGCUGCCAAAGCGCAAGCUGGAGCAAAUCCCAUCAAAGCCGGUCUCAGUUCGGAUUGCAGGCUGAAACUCGCCUGCAUGAAGCUGGAAUCGCUAGUAACGGUAGGUCAGCACACUACCGUGAAUACGUUCCCGGGUCUUGUACACACCGCCCGU